Crotalus tigris (Tiger rattlesnake) is the source of this 559-nucleotide long non-coding RNA. RefSeq lists it as uncharacterized. The transcript has 3 exons. The record is from RefSeq and is a predicted model, not a curated record. NCBI's taxonomy places the organism in Eukaryota, Metazoa, Chordata, Lepidosauria, Squamata, Viperidae.
AAUCUCAAUUCGUGACCUUAAAACUCCUCUAUCCCUUUGAUAUGGUCAUAUUUUUAGCAUUUCCUUUGCCUCUUGUCUGCGAUAACACUUUAAGUUGCAAAAGUCAGAGACGCCUAUUGCACAAGUUCUUUUUUUCCUUCCCCAGAAAGUUUGCAGGUUGGUCCAAUUCAAUUCCCCUUUCUCGGAAGAAGGAACUAACUCCAUCAAAUAGAGGCCAGCGAGAAUAUCAUCCUUGAGAUUCUGCUGGUCUGCUCUGGAGAUUCUUCCUAUCAUCACCAGUGUCUUGAAUUGUCCUCCUUAACUUGGAUCUGAAUUUCCCCAAACAGACAAACAACAAUUUUGCACAAUGGAAGAAUUUAAUUACAUAGAAGAUGAUGAUGACUUUAGUGGAAGUGGCUUCUAUAAUGUUACAUCUGAAUACCCAGAUGGGUAAGUACAUUAUAGUACAAAGUAUUUGCUUUGCAGGAAUGUAAUUAGCCUUCUAAGUGUUUCAUAACAUUCUAAAAGGAAAAUUGCUCCUCUGCUCUGCCCAUGGAGGCUUCUGGUAAGGAUGGAUAGA